Molecule: long non-coding RNA, 1561 nt
Organism: Oryzias melastigma (Indian medaka)
Lineage: Eukaryota; Metazoa; Chordata; Actinopteri; Beloniformes; Adrianichthyidae
Exons: 2
Source: RefSeq, a predicted model, not a curated record
GGUUUUUUGUGGAUUUGCCUUAAACUUGUGUCUGUGAGUGUGGUGCUUCGGCAAGCUCUUGUUCCUCUGUCUCCCUCUUGUGGUUGUUUUUGCUAAUGCUGCUAUGCUGUUUUUCAGCUCUUUUUGCUGGUUAUUGGUUUAGGCUUUUUUUUUUAAUUAGAAGUUUGUCUCCACAGGUAUGCAGUAAAAAAAAUUACUGGCAGGGACCCCUGACACACCCACAACCCAUCCCUACUCACCCUGGCUCCAUUCAUAGCUGUUGCUGUGAAUUAUCCCUUGUGUAUCCCUUGUCUGCCAGGGAACUAACAUCUUGAGCUUUAUUCUUUUUCCAUGAUGACAGUGAGACCAAGUCAAGCAGAAACGCCCCAACAGUUAGUUCAAAGAAUGCCUCCCCCAUAAGCAUUUGUUGAACUUUAACAUCUUGAUAAGCACUAUGGCUGAAGUACAGUAAUUGAAAGGAUCAAGAAAUAUCCAAAAUGCUCAACUACUUCCAUUUUGUAUACAAUUGUGAGCUGUUGUUAUUUGGGGAAUACUAUGAAAACCUUGUAUUUUUUUCAAUUGUGAGUGUCAGAUAACCUACAGAGUAAAACAGCAUGUGGUAGAAAGAGACCGUCUUGCUGCAAUCAGCUUGUUCUAUCUGUGACUGUCAGGUUGUGGGAAAUAUCUUAAACAUUUUUCCAAUCCAAUUGAAUGUUUCUGCAAAUUUGGUCUAAUAGGUUAAGAAUAAUUUACUGUCUUUCCAAGUACUGUGACAAUUUUCUAGCCAAUUUAGUUUCACAUCUCCAACUUAAAAAAUGUUUUAAUUGAAUCGGCUUCUGGUUUAACCUAUUUGACUAUUCUCUAGGGAAAAAUGCAUUUUUUUUUCCAAGUGACUAGUCUCUUUCCAGAUGACAAACUGUUUACGAAGUCCAAUGAGUGAUCUUUCUGUCAUAUAUUUACUGAUUUUAUAACAAACACUCUUUCCUUGUGCUGUUUUAGUUUUCUCUUGAUGAUAAAUUGAAGAAAAAAAAACAUAUGUCUUAAUGAAUUUUUAGUGAGGAGUUUUAAUUAAAAAAAAACAUGAAGCCAAAAUACAAAAUCUCUAUUAAAGUAACUUGUAAUAAUUAUUGUUUCUUCUAAUUCUCUAUAUUUUAUUUUUAUUUAUUUAUUUUUAGACAUUUCAACCAUUUUCAUUGUCGUCCUUAGUAUUUCUUAUUUAACAUCAAAGCUUCAAACAUAAUUAGAUUAGAUAAAGACCUACUUUUUCAAACUACUGAAAUAAAUGUUUCACUUUUUAAACUUAACCAGGUUUUCUAAGAGGUUUAGACUAAGAAGAAAUUAACUUGUGAGACACUUGUAGCCUACACCUCUCUGAUAAGGGAUUUAUAAAACUCACACACAGACUAAAAAUAUAUAUACAUGUAGUUUUUACUUGUAGUUUUAUUUACAUUAUGUUUGCAAAUUAAAAAAAAGGAUUAAACUAACAGUGGAUGGAAAGUUGUUCAUUGUCAAAAAUACAAACUGCAGAUGCUUAAACAUCUUUUUUUGUAAUCGGUAAAUAAAAAUAAAUAAAAAAAGAACU